GGGAUGAGGGACUGCAGACCACGGCAAAAAAAGAUGGUACCUUCUUCCAAAACCAUACUCUUGAAUUCUACAUGCAAAUCUAAAACAUGCCUUACAUGUUUUGAUGAUCCGAAAGUCUUUAGUCUGAACUUCUAAUGCAAACUCUGAACUAUAAUGCUUUGACUGACUAAACGUGACACGAACAUAUGAACUUGUAAUGCUCUUAGUCUUUGAAAGACUAAACAUGAAAUUUGUUUUGUACAUUGAUUUUUUUCCUUUUAUGCUAACCCUUAUACCUGGUAGAUUUGGUUAUUAAUUGGUGCUAGAAAUUUAGAGGACAUCAAUAUACCCUUUUUUUAGUGUAUAUUAGAUUCUUAAUGUAUACUUAUUUGCGUGCACCGAUGCUACUUGAACGGGAUCAAAAUUUCAUAGCUGAGCUAGAGUACUAUAUAUAUUGGUGGUGAUGCAUAUUUUUUUUUUGUUGCAGAUUACUGAUGAGAAGAUUCCGUGGAUGCAAGAUGAAAACAUGAAUGUAACCACCUAUUUUAAUGUGUUUCUGAAUGUAACAUGAGAUGUUGAAUCUGAUAUGCUGUAAUUUUGAUAAACUUGGUAUGUCUUUUGGGCUCAAAUGGUUGUUCUAAUAAAUGGGCUAACUGUUUUAGUGGGUUGAAAUUUGAUGGGUAUUCUGAUGGGCUGAAAUUUUUAUGGGCUAAGUGUAGUGGGCUAAAAAGUGAAGUGGCCUGCUUCUAAAAUGAGCCCAUUAAUAAAUAGGCCAUGAAUGCAAAGUCAUCGUCCACGUCAGCAGCCAUGUUAUUGUCCAUGUCAUUGUCACCACCCAUGUCAUUUUUCACGUCAUAAGCCAUGUCAUCAUCAUCAUUAUCCACAUCAUUAGUCAUGUCAGCUGCCAUGUCAACAGCCACAUCAUCAUCACUAUCCACAUCACUAGCCAUGUCAACCACCACGUCAACGUCCACAUCACUUAUGGGUAAUGUGGCUACUUUAUCCAUGACGAAUAUAAUCUAUGUGGCAACUAUCUGUGAUGUUUAUUUUCGUCAUUGAUAUUGGGCUUGGGUUGGGCUGGGCUGUGCGGGC
RNAcentral lists this long non-coding RNA (1071 nucleotides) under Setaria viridis. Its description in RNAcentral is "long non-coding RNA (SVIR_LNC000567)". Lineage: Eukaryota; Viridiplantae; Streptophyta; Magnoliopsida; Poales; Poaceae. The record is from RNAcentral.